CCUACGGGAGGCACCAGUGGGGAAUAUUGCACAAUGGGCGCAAGCCUGAUGCAGCCAUGCCGCGUGUAUGAAGAAGGCCUUCGGGUUGUAAAGUACUUUCAGCGGGGAGGAAGGUGUUGUGGUUAAUAACCACAGCAAUUGACGUUACCCGCAGAAGAAGCACCGGCUAACUCCGUGCCAGCAGCCGCGGUAAUACGGAGGGUGCAAGCGUUAAUCGGAAUUACUGGGCGUAAAGCGCACGCAGGCGGUCUGUCAAGUCGGAUGUGAAAUCCCCGGGCUCAACCUGGGAACUGCAUUCGAAACUGGCAGGCUAGAGUCUUGUAGAGGGGGGUAGAAUUCCAGGUGUAGCGGUGAAAUGCGUAGAGAUCUGGAGGAAUACCGGUGGCGAAGGCGGCCCCCUGGACAAAGAUCGACGCUCAGGUGCGAAAGCGUGGGGAGCAAACAGGAUUAGAUACCCGUGUAGUC
This 465-nucleotide ribosomal RNA is filed under the name uncultured bacterium. Its description in RNAcentral is "bacterial SSU rRNA". It matches the Rfam family "Bacterial small subunit ribosomal RNA", at positions 338 to 795 of the family's 1533-position model. The record is from RNAcentral.